RNAcentral lists this long non-coding RNA (225 nucleotides) under Elaeis guineensis (African oil palm). RNAcentral describes it as "long non-coding RNA (EGUI_LNC020676)". Lineage: Eukaryota; Viridiplantae; Streptophyta; Magnoliopsida; Arecales; Arecaceae. The record is from RNAcentral.
GGGUAGAGGGCCGAGCUGAGAGCUCGAUGCUAGAAAGGCAACAUAUGAGCGAUAUAAUCACUUUCUCUGAUGAGAAUAUCUGACGAGUUCAAACUCCUCAUAACGAUGCUGUCAUCGUCUCUAUUACAAUAGCAAACUAUGAUGUGAAAAGAUUCUUAUUGAUAAUGAAAGCUCAGCUGAUGUUUUAUUUUAUGAUACUUUCUAGAGGAUGAAAUUAUCAAUUGA